RNAcentral lists this ribosomal RNA (440 nucleotides) under uncultured bacterium. Its description in RNAcentral is "partial 16S ribosomal RNA". It matches the Rfam family "Bacterial small subunit ribosomal RNA", at positions 338 to 795 of the family's 1533-position model. The record is from RNAcentral.
CCUACGGGAGGCAGCAGUAGGGAAUAUUGCUCAAUGGGGGAAACCCUGAAGCAGCAACGCCGCGUGGGGGAUGAAGGUUUUCGGAGUGUAAACCCCUUUUGGCAGGGAAGAUAAUGACGGUACCUAAGGAAGAAGCACCGGCUAACUACGUGCAAGCAGCCGCGGUAAUACGGAGGGUGCAAGCGUUACCCGGAAUUACUGGGGGUAAAGGGCGCGUAGGCGGGAUAGCAAGUCCGGUGUGAAAGCCGAGGGCUUAACCACCGUACUGCAUUUGAAACUGUCCCUCUGGAGUGUAGGAGAGGUAAGUGGAAUUCUUGGUGUAGCGGUGAAAUGCGUAGAGAUCACGAGGAAUACUAGUUGCGAAGGCGGCCUGCUGGAACGUAACUGACGCUGAUGCUCGAAAGCGUGGGGAGCAAACAGGAUUAGAUACCCGUGUAGUC